RNAcentral lists this ribosomal RNA (484 nucleotides) under uncultured bacterium. RNAcentral describes it as "partial 16S ribosomal RNA". It matches the Rfam family "Bacterial small subunit ribosomal RNA", at positions 30 to 507 of the family's 1533-position model. The record is from RNAcentral.
AUUGAACGCUGGCGGCAGGCCUAACACAUGCAAGUCGAGCGGAUGAAGGGAGCUUGCUCCUGGAUUCAGCGGCGGACGGGUGAGUAAUGCCUAGGAAUCUGCCUGGUAGUGGGGGAUAACGUCCGGAAACGGGCGCUAAUACCGCAUACGUCCUGAGGGAGAAAGUGGGGGAUCUUCGGACCUCACGCUAUCAGAUGAGCCUAGGUCGGAUUAGCUAGUUGGUGGGGUAAAGGCCUACCAAGGCGACGAUCCGUAACUGGUCUGAGAGGAUGAUCAGUCACACUGGCACUGAGACACGGUCCAGACUCCUACGGGAGGCAGCAGUGGGGAAUAUUGGACGAUGGGCGAAAGCCUGAUCCAGCCAUGCCGCGUGUGUGAAGAAGGUCUUCGGAUUGUAAAGCACUUUAAGUUGGGAGGAAGGGCAGUAAGUUAAUACCUUGCUGUUUUGACGUUACCAACAGAAUAAGCACCGGCUAACUUCGUG